This is a small nuclear RNA of Mesocricetus auratus (golden hamster), 104 nucleotides long. The record is from RefSeq and is a predicted model, not a curated record. NCBI's taxonomy places the organism in Eukaryota, Metazoa, Chordata, Mammalia, Rodentia, Cricetidae.
GUGCUUGUUUCCACAACUCAUAUACUAAAAUUGAAACAAUACAGAGAUUAGCAUGGUCCCUCCUCAAGGAGGACACGAAAAUUUGUCAAGCAUUCCAUAUUAAA